UACGGAGGAUGCGAGCGUUAUCCGGAUUUACUGGGUGUAAAGGGAGCGUAGACGGCGAUGCAAGCCAGAUGUGAAAGCCCGCGGCUCAACUGCGGUAGUGCAUUUGGAACUGUAUGGCUGGAGUGCAGGAGAGGCAGGCGGAAUUCCUAGUGUAGCGGUGAAAUGCAUAGAUAUCACGCAGAACUCCGAUUGCGAAGGCAGCAUACCGGUGCCCAACUGACGCUGAAGCACGAAAGCGUGGGUAUCGAACAGG
Molecule: ribosomal RNA, 253 nt
Filed under: uncultured bacterium
Lineage: Bacteria
Description: partial 16S ribosomal RNA
Rfam family: Bacterial small subunit ribosomal RNA
Source: RNAcentral